RNAcentral lists this unclassified non-coding RNA (303 nucleotides) under Hevea brasiliensis (rubber tree). Lineage: Eukaryota; Viridiplantae; Streptophyta; Magnoliopsida; Malpighiales; Euphorbiaceae. The record is from RNAcentral.
UCACCGUCUUCGCGCGCUUCUUCACCGAACUCAGCUCCGCCGGCCUCAUCUCCAACUCUUCCCGCGCCCUCUGCAUCGGCGCGCGCCUCGGCCAGGAAGUCGCCGCCCUCCGCUCCAUCGGCGUUGCCUCCGCCGUCGGCAUGGACCUCGUCGCCGCGCCGCCGCUCGUCGUCGCCGGCGACUUCCACAACCAGCCGUUCGAGAAUUCCUCGUUUGACUUCGAGUUCUCGAACGUGUUCGAUCACGCGCUUUAUCCGGAGAAAUUUGCGGCGGAGAUUGAGCGGACGUUGCGGCCGGGGGGCG